Molecule: ribosomal RNA, 485 nt
Filed under: uncultured bacterium
Lineage: Bacteria
Description: bacterial SSU rRNA
Rfam family: Bacterial small subunit ribosomal RNA
Source: RNAcentral
AUUGAACGCUGGCGGCAUGCCUUACACAUGCAAGUCGAACGGUAACAGGUUAAGCUGACGAGUGGCGAACGGGUGAGUAAUGUAUCGGAACGUGCCCAGUCGUGGGGGAUAACGUAGCGAAAGCUACGCUAAUACCGCAUACGAUCUAUGGAUGAAAGCGGGGGAUCGCAAGACCUCGCGCGAUUGGAGUGGCCGAUAUCAGAUUAGGUAGUUGGUGGGGUAAAGGCCUACCAAGCCGACGAUCUGUAGCUGGUCUGAGAGGACGACCAGCCACACUGGGACUGAGACACGGCCCAGACUCCUACGGGAGGCAGCAGUGGGGAAUUUUGGUCAAUGGAUGCAAGUCUGAACCAGCCAUGCCGCGUGCAGGAAGAAGGCCUUCUGGGUUGUAAACUGCUUUUGCCAGGGGAUAAAAUUCCAUGCGUGGAAACUGAAGGUACCUGGUGAAUAAGCCACGGCUAACUACGUGCCAGCAGCCGCGGUAA